GCCAGACUCCUACGGGAGGCAGCAGUGGGGGAUAUUGCACAAUGGGGGGAACCCUGAUGCAGCGACGCCGCGUGGGUGAAGGAGCGUUUCGGCGCGUAAAGCCCUAUCGGCAGGGAAGAAGGAGGACGGUACCUGACUAAGAAGCCCCGGCUAACUACGUGCCAGCAGCCGCGGUAAUACGUAGGGGGCAAGCGUUAUCCGGAUUUACUGGGUGUAAAGGGGGCGCAGACGGCAGCGCAAGCCAGGAGUGAAAGCCCGGGGCCCAACCCCGGGACUGCUCUUGGAACUGCGCGGCUGGAGUGCAGGAGGGGCAGGCGGAAUUCCUGGUGUAGCGGUGAAAUGCGUAGAUAUCAGGAGGAACACCGGUGGCGAAGGCGGCCUGCUGGACUGCGACUGACGUUGAGGCCCGAAAGCGUGGGGAGCAAACAGGAUUAGAUACCCCUGUACA
This 448-nucleotide ribosomal RNA is filed under the name uncultured bacterium. RNAcentral's name for it is "partial 16S ribosomal RNA". It matches the Rfam family "Bacterial small subunit ribosomal RNA", at positions 330 to 794 of the family's 1533-position model. The record is from RNAcentral.